CCCAAUUCAGCUCGUACAAACUAAAGGAAAAGUCUUCUGGCGGCUAGUCAAUACAUAUCGUUUGAAUUAAUCAAGAGUAUAAACUUAGUUACCUAUUAUUACAACGUCGGCAUUGCUAGGAACAUCGAUGUUCUUUGUCUCGUUUUCUUUAAAUGUAGCGACUGUUCGAUUAUUUCCGAGACCCCAUUUAAGUAACUGAAGUGAUGAAAAGACAUAUUGAAAUAUGUACGGUUUUUAUCUUUUUACAAAAAUAAAUAAAAUCUUCGUAA
Long non-coding RNA from Acromyrmex echinatior (Panamanian leafcutter ant), 269 nucleotides. The record is from RefSeq and is a predicted model, not a curated record. NCBI's taxonomy places the organism in Eukaryota, Metazoa, Arthropoda, Insecta, Hymenoptera, Formicidae.